GAAAGAGUGCGUAAUAGCUCACUGGUCGAGUGACCCCGCGCCGAAAAUGUACCGGGGCUAAACAUAUUACCGAAACUGUGGAUGAACCUCUUUAGAGGUUCGUGGUAGGAGAGCGUUCUAAGGGCGGUGAAGUCAGACCGGAAGGACUGGUGGAGCGCUUAGAAGUGAGAAUGCCGGUAUGAGUAGCGAAAGAAGGGUGAGAAUCCCUUCCACCGAAUAUCUAAGGUUUCCUGAGGAAGGCUCGUCCGCUCAGGGUUAGUCGGGACCUAAGCCGAGGCCGAUAGGCGUAGGCGAUGGACAACAGGUAGAGAUUCCUGUACCAGUGCUAAUUGUUUAACCGAUGGGGUGACACAGAAGGAUAGGGAAUCGCACGAAUGGAAAUGUGCGUCCAAGCAGUGAGUGUGAGAAGUAGGCAAAUCCGCUUCUCGCGAAGCAUGAGCUGUGAUGGGGAAGGAAAUUAAGUACGGAAGUUCCUGAUUUCACGCUGUCAAGAAAAGCCUCUAGGAAGAGUAGUACUGCCCGUACCGCAAACCGACACAGGUAGAUGAGGAGAGAAU
Molecule: ribosomal RNA, 557 nt
Filed under: Listeria monocytogenes
Lineage: Bacteria; Bacillati; Bacillota; Bacilli; Caryophanales; Listeriaceae
Description: bacterial LSU rRNA
Rfam family: Bacterial large subunit ribosomal RNA
Source: RNAcentral